CUCCAAGACCCAAAACAGAACCAUGUGAGACCAUGUUUGGCUGAGGAAACACUAUGAACAUUAAAAUGAACUAUGGCAAGCCCUCUUACUGUCUGGAAUGUUUCCCAGACAGCCUCCUAAAAGAACAGGCAGUUCAAGACCAACCAGGAAGUCGAGCAUGAAUCCCCCUCAAGUUUUCCCAUGGUGAGACUGCCUGAAACCAAGCCAUUGUUGUGUGUCUGUGUGUACUGGUUAAUUAUUUAUAGCUAGACCUUCAUUGGGAAAUCUAAUCUGCAGGGCACAUGAGGUUACAUUCCCCAGAGUCUGUGUUCUUGUGGGUUUGUAUGUGUUUGUGUGUAUUUCAGGAAAUGGCUUCCUGAAGUCCAAAGCAGCUGAUUGGUCGGCCCCAUCGACGAUUGGAGCUCUGACCCCACCCUCUCGUCAGGGGAUACAGCUGUCUGCAAUUACCGACUCCUUCUGCAGCUUUAAAAGCCAUUGUUCCUUUGUUAGGAGAGAGAGCUUCUUGGGGGGAAGGGGAUGGCACCUUGGGAGUGCUUAGGCAAGAGGCCUGUGGGCAGACAUAUACCUGUAGUAUGUACACUGUCUAUGCUCACUAGGUAAGACCUGGGCGGACCGUCCCCUGUGUUUUGGUUAGCGGGCCAGGUGGCGCAAAGAAUAGGUAACCAUGGUCGACAGAGGAAGAACAAUGAUUCCAAGCACAAC
Non-coding RNA from Salvelinus sp. IW2-2015, 702 nucleotides. NCBI's taxonomy places the organism in Eukaryota, Metazoa, Chordata, Actinopteri, Salmoniformes, Salmonidae. The record is from RefSeq and is a predicted model, not a curated record.